UGGGGAAUAUUGGACAAUGGGCGCAAGCCUGAUCCAGCCAUUCCGCGUGAGUGAUGAAGGCCUUAGGGUUGUAAAGCUCUUUUAGCAGGGAAGAUAAUGACGGUACCUGCAGAAAAAGCCCCGGCUAACUUCGUGCCAGCAGCCGCGGUAAUACGAAGGGGGCUAGCGUUGCUCGGAAUUACUGGGCGUAAAGCGCGCGUAGGCCGUCUUUUAAGUCGGACGUGAAAGCCCUCGGCUCAACCGGGGAACUGCGUUCGAUACUGGGAGACUUGAGUCCUGGAGAGGGUGGCGGAAUUCCGGGUGUAGGAGUGAAAUCCGUAGAUAUCCGGAGGAACACCGGUGGCGAAGGCGGCCACCUGGACAGGUACUGACGCUGAGGCGCGAAAGCGUGGGGAGCAAACA
Molecule: ribosomal RNA, 402 nt
Filed under: uncultured bacterium
Lineage: Bacteria
Description: bacterial SSU rRNA
Rfam family: Bacterial small subunit ribosomal RNA
Source: RNAcentral